This is a long non-coding RNA of Biomphalaria glabrata, 549 nucleotides long. RefSeq lists it as uncharacterized. NCBI's taxonomy places the organism in Eukaryota, Metazoa, Mollusca, Gastropoda, Planorbidae. The record is from RefSeq and is a predicted model, not a curated record. The transcript has 4 exons.
AUUCUCAGGAAUUAGUCAUUCAAAAGACGGUGAGGAAAAGAAUGGUCGACAAACCUUGUGUGGUGCCUUAACAGUCCAACAGACUAAGGGAUAGAUAAAGGUGGAUCUUGAUUAAACUGCCUGGUUUUGUGGUUUGCACGAGACGGUUGACACAAUGAUCUGAAGUUUAAACUGCCAUAUUCUACUGUCCGCUGCGAGAUCUUGGCUGGAAUGUAAAAGGAAUAUCCAAAAUAUUUAAAUGACAAACAGGAUGGGAACUGAUUAUGAGGAAUAUGCUGAAACAGACAUCUGGCAUAUUCCUAUAAUCAGUAUCAUGGCCUUUGUAUACAACAAAAUUGAUUGGAACUCCUAGACUAGAAAUAUAAUUCAAGAUUUAAAUAAGGCACUGGUCAUAGUUUUAGAAAGUGUGGCUAGCAUUCUGAAGGAAGACAGAGAGAUGGGAAGACAUCAAAGAAUGGACAGGUCUGCCAUGAAAUGGUUUAUCCAGGGCUAAGUACAGAGAGGAAUAUAGAAGGGCUGUUGACAGAUCUUGUGUGGUGCCCCCAAGGU